This 468-nucleotide ribosomal RNA is filed under the name uncultured bacterium. RNAcentral describes it as "partial 16S ribosomal RNA". It matches the Rfam family "Bacterial small subunit ribosomal RNA", at positions 28 to 507 of the family's 1533-position model. The record is from RNAcentral.
GACGAACGCUGGCGGCGUGCUUAACACAUGCAAGUCGAACGGUAAGGCCCUUCUUUUUUGGUGUUCUCGAGUGGCGAACGUGUGUUUAACACGUUUGUAACCUGCCCUUUACUUUGUUAUAUCUUCAGGAAACUGUGUCUAAUACCUUAUAGGAUCUCCUGCUGCAUGUUGUGGGUUGGUUCGUUUCGGAGGUUGGGGAUGGACUCGCUGCUUAUCAGCUUGUUGGUUGGGUAGUGGCUUACCAAGGCUUUGACGGGUAGCCGGCCUGAGAGGGUGACCGGCGACAUUGGGACUGAGAUACGGCCCAGACUGCUACGGGAGGCAGCAGUGGGGAAGAUUGCAGAAUGGGCGGAAGCCUGAUGAAGAAACGCAGCGAGCGGGAUGACGGCAUUCGGGUUGUAAACCGAUUUCGACUGUGAAGAAGAGUGAGUGACGGUAAUGGGUAAAGAAGCACCAGCUAACUACGUG